Molecule: long non-coding RNA, 631 nt
Organism: Rosa rugosa (rugosa rose)
Lineage: Eukaryota; Viridiplantae; Streptophyta; Magnoliopsida; Rosales; Rosaceae
Exons: 4
Source: RefSeq, a predicted model, not a curated record
CCUCUUUCUCUCUCCUCUCCCCCGACUCUUCCCCCUUUCCCUUCGGAUUUUCUUCCUCCCUCUGAUUCCUCACUUUCCGGCCACCAUCCGGCGUGCAACCGGUCACCACAGGGGCGCCUCAACCCGCUCUGGACGCCAGUGACCUAGGAUUGUGGAGUUUUGGCCGUGAAAGUCCGGAUCGAAGCAAAGAUUGCUCCGGCUGCAGUUUUGGGAUUUCGCCGAUUUCCGGCCAUUCCGGCCACCUCCGGCCACCAUAUUGACAUCGAAGGGUUCUUGAAGCUUCGGGGCUUUCCUUCACCGGCUUGAUUCGACUACUUCGAGGACGAGAGGAGUCUCCAUACGAGGAAAAUACCGAGCGACGUCAGGAUUGAGCAUAUAUCUUUUCAGUGUUGCUGCUCGGCGUUCAGGAGUGAGCCAUAGUGACCGCAUCCGCUUCCGUCAUCAUAUUUUGUAGGUUAUUUAUUUAGCCUACUGUACUCUAUGUUAAACUUAUAUUCCUAGAAUGCUCUGAUUACUAAGGGAUAUGUGACCCAAACUUGUAUGAAUUAUAUUUGAGGUCUAUGACCUAACUUUGGUGAUUGUAGUAACUUGUACCUUUCGGAGAUUAUGUAUGAUGUUGUUAGCUUUGAGA